CACUGUGGUAAAAAUCAACAUUCAGCAGACAAGCUAAACCAGAUUAAGGAUAGUUGGAAGGGCUCACACUCAUCAGUGACUUAAGGGGAUGCUACCCCAAAUAUGUGAAGAAUGGGCAGAUGGGAACAAUUUGUUCCAAUGGCCAUGCAGGUAGCUGAAGCAGGCAGUGGGGAACACUUAGAGCUUGGCCACAAUUGAAGAUACCAAGGUCAUCCACUGCGUCCCAGACCAUCACCAACUUAACUUUUUCUUGCCACAGCACUUAGAUGACUCUGGAAGUUGACUGCUCUGUGCAACACUCAUUCACUUAAAUCCAAUUCACUUGGGAGUCAAGAUAUCACCCUGUGAUGUCAUUGGUCCUCUUUGAAACAAAGGAUGGACAGCAACUAUGUACCAGUGCUUCUCUAUUCUACCAUGUAAUGUUUCCAGUACUAGGUAGCUUCUGGGUGUGUCUUAUUUCCUGUCAUCCUGGAAUGAGGCUAUGGAACUGGUGAUGAGGGAUGAGUCUACUUUAUCCCUGGAGAACUCAGUCAUCAGAAUUGUUAUCCAAUGCUGUGAGGGUCAUAGAAAGAAUAUGUCCUGAGCCUCAGGGAGCCACAAGACUGAUACCAAAGGUUUUUAGCCUUUUGUUGUGUCAUGAACCCAAGGGUAUGCUGGUUAACGUUUAACAGCUGAGAAAGAAAGGAAGAAAGGAAGGAAGGAAGGAAGGAAGGAAGGAAGGAAGGAAGAAAGAAACAAAGGAAGAAAGAAAGAUUAUAAGUUUAAUCUGCAUUAACAUUUUCUCCACUAUUUUCUUGAUCUAA
This 803-nucleotide long non-coding RNA is filed under the name Monodelphis domestica (gray short-tailed opossum). Its description in RNAcentral is "lncRNA (ENSMODG00000040187.1)". Lineage: Eukaryota; Metazoa; Chordata; Mammalia; Didelphimorphia; Didelphidae. The record is from RNAcentral.